This 306-nucleotide ribosomal RNA is filed under the name Triticum aestivum (bread wheat). Its description in RNAcentral is "partial small subunit ribosomal RNA". The record is from RNAcentral. Lineage: Eukaryota; Viridiplantae; Streptophyta; Magnoliopsida; Poales; Poaceae.
AUGCAAAUCAGUGGCAUUUGUUACUCAAUAAACCCCCUCCCCCAGGCAUCAGCUCGUUGUCCUGCUCCUCCUCUCUCUCAUUCUGCCGACGGAUGCCCGUGCGUGCUCUCUGGCCUCGGACGCCACGAAGAACUCCUCGCCAAGCAGCAGCUCCACCGCGCCUCUUCUGCGCCAGCUGAACCACGAGCAGCACCUGCUACUGCUGACGACGACACCGCCCAACCGAUGCGCACACCGGUCGCCGCCGCCUCGCCGGGAGGGCUCGUUCUCGCGUCCGCUCCUCCUACCGGUCAUGGGAACUGCUAG